Molecule: non-coding RNA, 192 nt
Filed under: Protocruzia adhaerens
Lineage: Eukaryota; Ciliophora; Spirotrichea
Source: RNAcentral
CUCUACGAGCUUCGCUGAAACUUUUGGAGUUUCUUGUUUCGCAACGUCUGGGAAAGCCAUUCCGAAUCCAGAUCGUCAAUCCUAAUGGGGACGAGAAUUUAAUAUCUACAAUUCACGAAAUGGCCACUGAUAGUCGUCAGGAUGAACCCUUUGGGAAAUGCCUACGCAUCCCUCGGGAGUUGCUGCUGUCUU